Gossypium raimondii (Peruvian cotton) is the source of this 2119-nucleotide RNA transcript. It is a transcript of the gene named cytochrome P450 71AU50, with no coding region annotated. The transcript has 3 exons. The record is from RefSeq and is a predicted model, not a curated record. NCBI's taxonomy places the organism in Eukaryota, Viridiplantae, Streptophyta, Magnoliopsida, Malvales, Malvaceae.
CAAUAAUAGACACAGCAGUGACAGCACCUCGUGAUAAGCUCAGUGGGUUCACCUUAAAAUUUCUUGGUUUUCCUCCCAAAGCAACAAGAUGUUGCAAACAGCUUGCAUCUCGUUUUCAUGGCUGUUGAAUGUUGGCAACCAGAAAGAUGGACUGUUCCUAGCAUCUUUCUCGUUUCUGGUUGCCAUAUUGGGAAUUUCACUCUUGUACUCAUUUUGGAAGGCAAGGAAACCGAUGGCUCCAUUACCACCUGGUCCCCGUGGGUUGCCAAUCCUGGGGUAUCUUCCAUUUCUUGGAUUCGAUAAUCUCCAUCUGGUCUUUACGGAGUUGGGUAGAGUUUAUGGUCCCAUUUACAAGCUUUGGCUUGGGAACAAGCUAACCGUAGUAAUUAGCUCUCCAUCGCUUGUAAAAGAAGUGGUUCGUGACCAUGAUAUAGCAUUUUCAGAGCGAGAACCUCCCAUUGCUGCACAGAUUAUUACCUUUGGCUCCAGUGAUAUUGCGUUCGACUCUUACAGCAGUCCCAGCUGGAAAAACAAGCGCAAAGUUCUCGCGACCGAUAUGCUAAGCAACGCUAACCUUAAUGCUUGUUAUGAUCUACGACGAGAGCAAGUGAUGAAAAUGGUCGAGGAUGUGUAUGAAAACGUUGGCAAGCCAAUUGAUAUCGGCGAAUUGGCAUUCUGUACGUUAAUCAAUUUGAUCGGAAAGAUGGUGUGGGGAGGCGCACUCCGAGGAGAGAAAGGGACUGCGGUUGAGGGUCGCUUCAAAGAAAUUUCUUCGCAGAUGGUGGUGUUAAUUGGAAAACCAAACAUUUCCGAUAUUUUCCCCGCGAUUGCAUGGUUCGACAUGCAAGGUAUCCAGAGGGGAAUUAAGAAAAUCCGUCAAUCGUUCAAUGAACUUUUAGAGUCUGUGAUUGAACUCAGAAUGAACACGGUGACUGAGAAAGAAACGAGUGAACAAAAAUCCGACUUCUUACAAUUGCUCUUGGAUUUACACAAGAACCAAGAUAGCCCUUCAUCACUUACGAUGAAUCAAGUAAAGGGCCUUCUCAUGGACAUUGUGGUGGGUGCAACAGAUACCACUUCAACUACGACAGAGUGGGCAAUGGCAGAGCUAAUGCAACAUCCAGAAAUAAUGGAGAAAGUGAAGAAAGAAUUAACUGAUGUUGUUGGGGUAAAUGACAUCAUUGAAGAGUUUCACUUGCCUAAUUUAAGUUACCUAAGUGCAGUGAUAAAGGAGACCUUCAGAUUGCAUCCACCCGUGCCCCUUCUUGUUCCUCGUUGUUCUGCUCAAUCACUCACUGUGGGUGGCUAUAACAUACCAAAGGGUAGCAAGGUGUUUUUAAACAUGUGGUUCAUUCACACGGACCCCAAUAUUUGGGACAACCCUUCAGAAUUUCGACCCGAAAGGUUCUUGGAUGAGCCUGGAAAGUUCGAUUUUCUCGGAAAUGAUUUCCGAUAUAUGCCAUUUGGGUCAGGAAGGAGACGGUGUCCAGGCAUAACCCUAGGGGAGAAGAUGUUAUCUUUCAUAUUGGCCUCAUUGCUGCAUUCUUUUGAAUGGAAAUUGCCCCAAGGCGAACAGCUUGAUCUUUCAAGUAAAUUUGGAAUUGUUAUGAAGAAAAAGAACCAUUUACGUCUUAUUCCCAUACCGAGAUUGUCUGAUCAUGUGCUUUACAAAAAGUAAUGGUUAUAAACUAUUAUUAUAUGUAUCCCCUUUUGCGUCUUAUUCCCAUACCGAGAUUGUCUGAUCAUGUGCUUUACAAAAACAUGCAGCCAUGAAGCAGACAGCAAGCAGGCCAUGAAGAUCAAGCCAUGCAGGAGCUACUGGAACGAGAUCAACUGUUCCUAUUUUGUUCAUUUUGCAAUCUUAAGUUAAUGUAAUGUACUUUAGUUCAUUUAGAACUAUGUUAGGUUUAUGAUUGAUGUAAUUUUGAUGACAAAUGAGCUGUUAACUCAGCUUUGUUUAAGUGUGCAAGCUUAGUUUUUCAAGUUUCAAUGUAUUAGUGGUGGUAGGUGAUGAUUAGGUGACAUUAUGCAGAUUUUGACAAGCAAAUUGCUUGGUUUAUGUAUUGGCAUUAUGCCAUUGUUCAACUAUGAAUCAAAUCAGUUUAGUUUUCUUCAAAAA